This 29-nucleotide small RNA is filed under the name Bombyx mori (domestic silkworm). RNAcentral's name for it is "ovarian small RNA-26463". The record is from RNAcentral. Lineage: Eukaryota; Metazoa; Arthropoda; Insecta; Lepidoptera; Bombycidae.
UCCAAAGUUGAUUACGGCAUUCGUGUGGU